This 253-nucleotide ribosomal RNA is filed under the name uncultured bacterium. RNAcentral's name for it is "partial 16S ribosomal RNA". It matches the Rfam family "Bacterial small subunit ribosomal RNA", at positions 524 to 776 of the family's 1533-position model. The record is from RNAcentral.
UACGUAAGGGCCGAGCGUUGUCCGGAGUUACUGGGCGUAAAGCGCGCGCAGGCGGCGCAUCGCGCCCGGCGUGAAAGCCCCCGGCUCAACCGGGGAGGGUCGUCGGGGACGGGUGCGCUUGAGGACGGCAGGGGCAGGUGGAAUUCCCGGUGUAGUGGUGAAAUGCGCAGAUAUCAGGAGGAACACCGGUGGCGAAGGCGGCUUGCUGGGCCAGUUCUGACGCUGAGGAGCGAAAGCGUGGGGAGCGAACAGG